Unclassified non-coding RNA from Papio anubis (olive baboon), 148 nucleotides. It matches the Rfam family "Metazoan signal recognition particle RNA". Rfam says of the family: The signal recognition particle (SRP) is a universally conserved ribonucleoprotein. Lineage: Eukaryota; Metazoa; Chordata; Mammalia; Primates; Cercopithecidae. The record is from Ensembl.
GCCAGGUGUGGUGGCGGGCACCUGUAAUCCCAGAUACUCGGGAGGCUGAGGCAGGAGAAUCGCUUGAAUCCAGGAGCCAAAGGUUGCAGUGAGCCAAGAUGGUGCCACUGCAUUCCAGCCUGGGUAACAGAGCGAGACUCUGUCUCAA